This 520-nucleotide ribosomal RNA is filed under the name uncultured Glomus. RNAcentral's name for it is "SSU rRNA". It matches the Rfam family "Eukaryotic small subunit ribosomal RNA", at positions 569 to 1092 of the family's 1831-position model. The record is from RNAcentral. Lineage: Eukaryota; Fungi; Glomeromycota; Glomeromycetes; Glomerales; Glomeraceae.
AGCAGCCGCGGUAAUUCCAGCUCCAAUAGCGUAUAUUAAAGUUGUUGCAGUUAAAAAGCUCGUAGUUGAAUUUCGGGGUUAGUAGGUUGGUCGUGCCACUGGUGCGUACUGAUCUCACUGAUUCCUCCUUCCUGAUGAACUGUAAUGCCAUUAAUUUGGUGUUGCAGGGAAACUGGACUGUUACUUUGAAAAAUUAGAGUGUUUAAAGCAAGCUAACGCUUGAAUACAUUAGCAUGGAAUAAUGAAAUAGGACGUUCGAUCCUAUUUUGUUGGUUUCUAGGAUUGACGUAAUGAUUAAUAGGGAUAGUUGGGGGCAUUAGUAUUCAAUUGUCGGAGGUGAAAUUCUUGGAUUUAUUGAAGACUAACUACUGCGAAAGCAUUUGCCAAGGAUGUUUUCAUUAAUCAAGAACGAAAGUUAGGGGAUCGAAGACGAUCAGAUACCGUCGUAGUCUUAACCAUAAACUAUGCCGACUAGGGAUCGGAUGAUGUUAAUUUUUAAUGACUCAUUCGGCGCCUUAAC